This 76-nucleotide ribosomal RNA is filed under the name Streptomyces sp. WAC06273. Its description in RNAcentral is "partial 16S ribosomal RNA". It matches the Rfam family "Bacterial small subunit ribosomal RNA", at positions 1 to 74 of the family's 1533-position model. The record is from RNAcentral. RNAcentral also lists the same sequence under 1 other name. Lineage: Bacteria; Bacillati; Actinomycetota; Actinomycetes; Kitasatosporales; Streptomycetaceae.
CAUUCACGGAGAGUUUGAUCCUGGCUCAGGACGAACGCUGGCGGCGUGCUUAACACAUGCAAGUCGAACGAUGAAC